RNAcentral lists this transfer RNA (66 nucleotides) under Tridentiger brevispinis. Its description in RNAcentral is "tRNA-Cys". The record is from RNAcentral. RNAcentral also lists the same sequence under 1 other name. Lineage: Eukaryota; Metazoa; Chordata; Actinopteri; Gobiiformes; Gobiidae.
AGCCCUGAGGUGUUGUACAUGUAAGAUUGCAAAUCUUAAGUAGCAGAUUAACGUCGGCCGGGGCUU